ACCUGGGGUUGCUUCAGGUAGUUGUGGUGAUUGUCUUGUUGGCUGGAUGAUUAAAACAGGAAUAAAUUCAGCAUCAUUAGUAUCUACAGCUGAUGUGUGAACCACCUUUGGUUCUGCUCACUCCUCCAGGAGUCAAAGUAGGUCUGAAGGACACGGAGCGGUUUCCUGAAACCGGUGCUGCAACAGGAACCACCAGCUUCUGCACUGGUGGUAGGGUGGAAUCCAUCUGAAUCAGAGAACGAGGGGGACAACAUCGACAAGUUAUGAAUCAAAAGGAAUUAAAGCGGCGGUGUCUGA
Molecule: long non-coding RNA, 297 nt
Organism: Notolabrus celidotus (New Zealand spotty)
Lineage: Eukaryota; Metazoa; Chordata; Actinopteri; Labriformes; Labridae
Exons: 2
Source: RefSeq, a predicted model, not a curated record